This 356-nucleotide transfer-messenger RNA is filed under the name Acidimicrobiia bacterium. It matches the Rfam family "transfer-messenger RNA". Rfam says of the family: Bacterial tmRNA, also known as 10Sa RNA or SsrA, is named for its dual tRNA and mRNA-like properties. Its role is to liberate the mRNA from a stalled ribosome. The record is from RNAcentral. Lineage: Bacteria; Bacillati; Actinomycetota; Acidimicrobiia.
GGGGGUGCGUGGCUUCGAUUUCGAGGAUCGAAGCGGGUGAAGCGAGCCGACGUCUCCGGAUCGUCGUUAAAGAGCCGGAAACAGCAAUACCUGACGAGGACAACCUCGCACUCGCUGCUUAGGAUUUCCUGAACAGCGCGUUCCUCCCGGCCCAGCCGUUCGGUCGGAACCGGAACGCCAUCUAGAACGGCUCACCGCCGGGCUUGCCCGGGAUCCGGCGGGACAUCAAACCGGACUGGAGUCCUCAGAGACCGCCGGUGGCCGCUGAGGAACUCGAGAUCAAUCGCCGGCUGCGCUCGGAGAAGCCCCGCCCAAGAGCUCGGAAGACGCGGGUUCGACUCCCGCCACCUCCACCA